GGAGCCUCUGAAUCAGUCUGACAAACUUUUUCUUUAAAUCUUGUGCGAGAGUACACCAGAAGACAUGGCGAUGCAUCUGAACUAGCCUUGCCAACUUCUUCCUUCAACCUUCUGCGAGAGUAAACUGUAACACGAGGUGAGGUCUCUGAAGUAGUUUGGUCAACUUUUUCUUUCAACCUAGCGCGAGAGUAAACCAUAACAGAAGGUGGGGUCUCAGGACUAGUCGGGCCAACUUUUCCCCUAUACUUGGUGCGAAAGUACACUUUAAGCCUCUCGCCUGUAGAACUAGGAAGAGUCUGGAUUUCAGGACCACCCACAUAGCUAGAAUUCUUAGGGCCUAAGGUUUUUGAUAUUCGUGGCGAACUGUUCAUGGAACGAUGCAAUUGAAACGCUAAUUGUGCAUCAUUUACAUCCUUACUUACAACCUUACCCUUACUUUUACC
RNAcentral lists this unclassified non-coding RNA (443 nucleotides) under Hevea brasiliensis (rubber tree). The record is from RNAcentral. Lineage: Eukaryota; Viridiplantae; Streptophyta; Magnoliopsida; Malpighiales; Euphorbiaceae.